AAGAAAGAAGCAUAAGUGGUUUAGUAUGCAAUUGGCUUGAAACCAAUGGGUGAGGGUUCGAUUCCUU
Molecule: transfer RNA, 67 nt
Filed under: Cacatua galerita (sulfur-crested cockatoo)
Lineage: Eukaryota; Metazoa; Chordata; Aves; Psittaciformes; Cacatuidae
Description: tRNA-Ser
Rfam family: tRNA (bases 9-67)
About the family: Transfer RNA (tRNA) molecules are approximately 80 nucleotides in length. Their secondary structure includes four short double-helical elements and three loops (D, anti-codon, and T loops).
Source: RNAcentral